This 349-nucleotide RNase P RNA is filed under the name human gut metagenome. RNAcentral describes it as "Bacterial RNase P class A". It matches the Rfam family "Bacterial RNase P class A", at positions 35 to 359 of the family's 367-position model. From Rfam's summary of the family: Ribonuclease P (RNase P) is a ubiquitous endoribonuclease, found in archaea, bacteria and eukarya as well as chloroplasts and mitochondria. The record is from RNAcentral.
CCGGGGCAGAGGAAAGUCCGGACUCCACAGGGCGGGGGAUCCGUUCGUCAAGGACGGAAGGUGCGGAGAGAUUCCGCACGAUGGAAAGCGCAACAGAAAGCAGACAGCCCUUAAGGCGAUGGUGAAACGGCGGGGUAAAAGCCCACCGGUGGGGGUGGAAACGCCUCCGCGCAAGGCAAGCCCUCCCCGGAGCAAGAUCAAAUAGGAAGCCGAACCGACGGCCCGUCGGGCUGGCGCCUCGUGCGUCAUGAGGUUUCGGGUUGAUUGCUGAGAUGAAUGAUCGGACCCUUCUUUGCGGUGGCUUGCCGCUGACUCAAGGAGGGGAACAGAAUCUGGCUUAUUCGCCGUG